UACGUAGGGUGCAAGCGUUGUCCGGAAUUAUUGGGCGUAAAGGGCUCGUAGGGGGUCCAUCACGUCGGGAGUGAAAAGCUGGGGCUUAACCCCAGUCCUGCUUCCGAUACGGGUGGACUAGAGGUAGGUAGGGGAGAACGGAAUUCCUGGUGUAGCGGUGAAAUGCGCAGAUAUCAGGAGGAACACCGGUGGCGAAAGCGGCUUCCUGGACCAGCACCGACGUUCAGGCACGAAAGCGUGGGGAGCAAACAGG
RNAcentral lists this ribosomal RNA (253 nucleotides) under uncultured bacterium. RNAcentral's name for it is "partial 16S ribosomal RNA". It matches the Rfam family "Bacterial small subunit ribosomal RNA", at positions 524 to 776 of the family's 1533-position model. The record is from RNAcentral.